Molecule: long non-coding RNA, 3945 nt
Organism: Aedes albopictus (Asian tiger mosquito)
Lineage: Eukaryota; Metazoa; Arthropoda; Insecta; Diptera; Culicidae
Exons: 3
Source: RefSeq, a predicted model, not a curated record
CGACAUUCGUGACAUACGUGACAAUGGAUACAUCGGCUUUAAACAAAAUGGUUGUUUUAUAUAAGUAACCCGACGACAGGAAACGAUCGUUAUCUUAUCAAAAUCGUUUUAUCUGCCAGCAAAUUUCCAUCCCGAUCAACGCACACAGUCUUCGUGGCGCCUACCAUUGACAGUUGCCUAAAAUCUCCAAAUAUCGCUCCGAUCCAUGCUUUCCUGCACUAUAAUAGCUUCCACACUUUCUUUGUUCUCCAUCAUUUACUGCUCUCUGUUCAGCUAAAGGCAACUACCCAACUAACAUUUUCAGCGCUAUAAGCUUCAGUCAUUUGCUUUCUGUUGUGUAACCAUCGAGUAAAAGCAGUCAACGCUGAAUAAAAGGAAAGCUAGUCAAAUAUAAAGCAUAAGCUAAUACACGACUGCAAAACAAGCACCAUCAAGCUACCAAACUCAGUUUUCAGAAAUCCAUUGCUUGUCACUGGGGCUGCCUUUACUCCACUCUAUUCCAACUCCGGGAGAUUUCCCGGAAGAUGUGAAAACUUGAACACAUCGAAUAGGAGUCCCCACUAACAAAACAGCUGCUACUAUACAGUACAAUUCGUUAUACUGACAAACCCCCAAACCAGCAGCGCUUUAAAGGCCGUUAUGCGAUUUCAUUACGGCUACAAGCUGUAAUAAAGAAACUGUUGGUUUACCAACACGGCUUGUCGUAUGUAAACAUUAUUGCCAAAACAAACUUUAAGCGGGAUAUAUAGCUACUACACAAAUUCUUUACAGCUAUCCAUGUAUGUGCUGUGAAAUUAUUUGGGUUGCUUUUAUUGCACUUUAAUUCAAUGCCGGAAGAUGUUUCGGAAGAUGUGCAAAUCGAGUAAGAGUCCCAGCCACUACAACAGCUGCUUUUAUACAGUACGUUUUGUUAUGUUGCUAAAACACAAAACAGCAGCGCUUCGUAGCCGUUUAAAGAACACUCUUUCAGCUAGAAGCUGUGAAGAAAUAUCUGUUGGCGCAAUCACACAGCUUGUUCAAUGUAAACAUUAUUGCGUUUGACGUUUCACAAGCUUUUGCAGCAAGAUGAAGUUGGGUAAGGUUUCUUGUGGCACAAUUAUGAAGCCUUGUCUGAAGUAAAACAAAACGGGCUAUUUUCUAUGUUAUUUAUAUAUAGCAGUGUGGCAGCGAGGACAUCAUCGGGACCAGUGGAUACGGAGAUCGGGAGUUCGAUUCCAAAUAGCGGCAAGUACUUUAAUUAUUCAAUUUUAAAAGUGAUGAUUCCAGUUCCACAUGUAUUGCGUCACGGUAUCCAUAACCUAAUUAUAUUUAAUCGUUUAAUUUGGGAAUGCCGUAUAACUAUUAUUUAACAACUGCGAAAAGGCUGAAAAAGCGCCUUCUCAAGAUGUUAUUCAGUUAGUGGUUACAUAGGAGCCGAGAAAAGAGCUAUGACUUGGUGGCAUAGAAGCUUCUCGCACAGCAUAUACAUGCUGAUUAAGUUCGCCAGAUUCAUUGGUAUAGGGCUUGCAUAGAAGCUUCCAUCUAUAUGUACAACACAGUAACUCAGCAUCAAGCCGUAUUGAGGACGCUUUGUUGACGUUUACAUUCACAAUAAAUGUUAGUUGGGUAGCAUUCGACUGUUGGCACGUCGAAUCAGCGUUCGAUUCUAGUUGACGAAGGACUUUGGGAGCGGGACAUUUGGCAUAAAGUCAUUUGGCAUAAGGUCGUUUGGCAUAAGGUCAUUUGGCAUAAAGACAUUUGGCAUAACGGUCAUUUGGCAUAAUGGACAUUUGGCAUACCGUCGUGCGGGGCUACUUUUGAAAUACGGGGCUACUUUGGACACUUUUGAAUAUGGAUUUUUUGAAUUUGAAAUAUCGUUCAAAUCUGUUUGAUGUCUUUGGGACUAUUAUGACGCAAUAUUUUCCCCUUCAUUUGGUUGAAAUUAUUUUUCAAACAAACUCUUUAUUGCUUGUCAGGAGGCGAAAAAACAUCGAAUGAAUCAUAAAAAUAUACAUAACGUAUCAGAACAUUUGCUCUGUAAGCAUUGUUUCUGCAGUUCAUAAAUUUCAAAGGGUUGCUCAAUUCGUGCAAGAAGUAUCGACGUAGCAUAUACAAUCGAAUAUUUAUAUGGAUACACAAUAUAAAUGACCGUUUCACCUAAAUAAAGGAAUGAUGGCCCCCAGACAGCCUUUAAGUCUAUAUUAAAAUAUCACGCUGCUCAUAAUACCAAAGGUAGCACAGAACCACCUAAAAACGCAUAUAUUUUUUGAAAUCAUGUAUGAUAUAGUAUGCAACAGUAUUGGUACAAAGUAGUAUUCUAAAUAAACCCGAAAUUUUAACUGCAGUUUUGUUUUAAUUAUGAAUGUCCAAAGUAGCCCCCCUCUGGUUCUAUAUGAUAUGUCUCCGAUUGAUGUAUGGAAAACUUUUUUGUUUAUGGAUGGAUUUAGUUCAAAUUUUGCAUGCAUCCUACAUACAUACUCACAAUUAUUAUGUGUAAAAAUUGUGGAAAUACAUUCACUACUCUGGGAGUUAUAAUGUCAUAAAGUUGAAAAACCAUUAAAAAGUGUAUAAAGAAGCCCCGCACGACGGUAAUCGAAAUGCACACUUCAAAAAAUCUAAACGUCAAGGCUACGUGAAAAAUCACGUAGACCAACUUAAAAUGAACUUUUCAAAAAUUUACCUGACAAAUAUAGCAGUCAUCGGUAUAACGAUCAAGUUUAAAUGGACAAUUAGUUGUGUUUACUCUGUUUCCAUGUUUACCUUACGUGAAAUCCACAUGCAACCCAAAAUUCAUUCUGACAACUGAAUGAAUACUAUAUUCAUUCCGUACUCUACUCGUGUUUCAAGAUGGCGUCUUUGAAAACAAUCUUUGAGAAUUGCUUGCUGAUUCGAACAUUUUGGCCUAUUCGCAGGAAAUAUUUGAGAAUGUGGAGUUGAUUUUACCGAUAUUGACCUUUUUUCGGACCAUAUCCGCAACCAUUUGAGCGUCGGCUCAAAGACUUCGAAAUUAUUUUGGAACAAGAAACUAACCCAACAUUACCGAUUUGGUGUCGGCUUUGCCGGCGGGUUAUCGAUUGCGGCUCAUUGAUAAAGACACAUUCACUUGCUACUUGCCAUGCCACCGCACCCAUUCUACAUCUACAACCACUUUUUGGCGAUGGUUGAAUCAGCAUCUGGAGAACCAGUUCCCGAAAUGAUUUCACCAGUCCUUGCUGAUGGUAUUUCCAGCUUUUCGGGAAACUUUCUUGCCCGUAGUGGAAGUGCUUUUUAACUGUUUUUAAGUUACCCAGCAUGUUUACAAAAAAAUAGGUGAUAAAUCGUAUUUUAUAAUUAGGAACAGCUUGCACGACUAAUGUACGACUGUAAUUGCUAAAAUAAAAUUUAAUUUUAGUAUACUUAACAUUUGCUAUUUAAGAGACGAACCAGCCAAGGGCUGAAAGUCUCUCUAAUAAAGACAAAUCAAUCAAUCAAUUUGCUAUUUACAAAAUAAUGCAUUUAUCCAAUUAUGUAGUGUAAACGCAAUAUUCUUUGCUUCUGCUUUAGUGCUAGCCCAUUAAUACACAACGAAAUAAUGGAAGAAACUAAGAAGUGAGUUUUAUAGCAGAAGCGAAGAAUAAUGCGUUUACCCUUUAGUAAUUGAUCUAAAAUUAUCCGGAGCAUUCGAAAAACAAACAAACGUUGAAAUCAGCGCUAAAUGUGGUGGUAUUUAUCUUUAUUGUAUAUAAAACAUACCGAAACUUCAUUUCCGUUCUAUUGAAACAGUUGGCGAAACCCACAUAACAAUCACGUAAAUGCUACGGGUAUUCCAGUGGAAAGACAGAAUUCAUCGGUUCAUGCAUUCAUCUCUCGUCACCUUCUAUUCACGUAGCUGCUAAGUGAAAAGUGCGAUGGAAAAAAGCUACGUAUGUUUUCACGUAGCCUUGACGUUUGGAUUUUUUGGAGUGCACCCUUCUUUGUUAUGCCAAG